This 502-nucleotide ribosomal RNA is filed under the name uncultured bacterium. RNAcentral describes it as "partial 16S ribosomal RNA". It matches the Rfam family "Bacterial small subunit ribosomal RNA", at positions 28 to 523 of the family's 1533-position model. The record is from RNAcentral.
AUUGAACGCUGGCGGCAUGCUUUACACAUGCAAGUCGAGCGGCAGCGCGGGGGCAACCCUGGCGGCGAGCGGCGAACGGGUGAGUAAUGCAUCGGAACGUGUCCCGUAGUGGGGGAUAACGCCGGGAAACCGGCGCUAAUACCGCAUAUGCUCUACGGAGGAAAGGGGGGGACCCGCAAGGGCCUCCCGCUAUGGGAGCGGCCGAUGUCCGAUUAGCUUGGUGGUGAGGUAAAGGCUGACCAAGGCGACGAUCGGUAGCUGGUCUGAGAGGAUGAUCAGCCACGCUGGGACUGGGACACGGCCCAGACUCAUACGGGAGGCAGCAGUGGGGAAUUUUGGACAAUGGGGGCAACCCUGAUCCAGCCAUGCCGCGUGCGGGAAGAAGGCCUUCGGGUUGUAAACCGCUUUUGUCCGGAAAGAAAAGGCAUUCCCUAAUACGGGGUGUUCUUGACGGUACCGGAAGAAUAAGCACCGGCUAACUACGUGCCAGCCGCCGCCGUAA